Molecule: ribosomal RNA, 253 nt
Filed under: uncultured bacterium
Lineage: Bacteria
Description: partial 16S ribosomal RNA
Rfam family: Bacterial small subunit ribosomal RNA
Source: RNAcentral
UACGGAGGGUGCGAGCGUUAAUCGGAAUUACUGGGCGUAAAGGGUGCGUAGGUUGUUUUAUAAGUUAGCUGUGAAAUUCCUGGGCUUAACCUGGGGUUGUCAGCUAAGACUGUAGGACUCGAGUAUGGGAGAGGGUAGUGGAAUUUCCGGUGUAGCGGUGAAAUGCGUAGAGAUCGGAAGGAACACCGGUGGCGAAGGCGGCUACCUGGCCUGAUACUGACACUGAGGCACGAAAGCGUGGGGAGCAAACAGG